RNAcentral lists this ribosomal RNA (497 nucleotides) under uncultured bacterium. RNAcentral describes it as "partial 16S ribosomal RNA". It matches the Rfam family "Bacterial small subunit ribosomal RNA", at positions 28 to 507 of the family's 1533-position model. The record is from RNAcentral.
GAUGAACGCUGGCGGCGUGCCUAAUACAUGCAAGUCGAGCGAACGGACGAGAAGCUUGCUUCUCUGAUGUUAGCGGCGGACGGGUGAGUAACACGUGGAUAACCUACCUAUAAGACUGGGAUAACUUCGGGAAACCGGAGCUAAUACCGGAUAAUAUUUUGAACCGCAUGGUUCAAAAGUGAAAGACGGUCUUGCUGUCACUUAUAGAUGGAUCCGCGCUGCAUUAGCUAGUUGGUAAGGUAACGGCUUACCAAGGCAACGAUGCAUAGCCGACCUGAGAGGGUGAUCGGCCACACUGGAACUGAGACACGGUCCAGACUCCUACGAGAGGCAGCAGUAGGGAAUCUUCCGCAAUGGGCGAAAGCCUGACGGUGCAACGCCGCGUGAGUGAUGAAGGUCUUCGGAUCGUAAAACUCUGUUAUUAGGGAAGAACAUAUGUGUAAGUAACUGUGCACAUCUUGACGGUACCUAAUCAGAAAGCCACGGCUAACUACGUG